AACGCACGAGACCUGCGGACCUGCGGAGGGAUCAUUAACCGAGUUUAUACAUGACUCCCAAACCCCGUGUGAACUUAUACCUGUCUUACUGUUGCCUCGGCGGGUUCGCCCGCCGGGGGGACCAACAAAACUCUUUGUAAUUUGUUAUCUUAUAGGUACGUCUGAGUGGAAUCAUACACAAAUGAAUCAAAACUUUUAACAAUGGAUCUCU
RNAcentral lists this unclassified non-coding RNA (211 nucleotides) under soil metagenome. Its description in RNAcentral is "partial contains 5.8S ribosomal RNA, internal transcribed spacer 2, and large subunit ribosomal RNA". The record is from RNAcentral.